AGAUCCAUUUUCUGCCACCGAAUACAUUAGCAUGGGAUAAUGGAAUAGGACCCUGUCCUCCUAUUUUCAGUUGGUUUUGGCAGCGCGAGGACUAGGGUAAUGAUUAAUAGGGAUAGUUGGGGGCAUUAAUAUUUAAUUGUCAGAGGUGAAAUUCUUGGAUUUAUGAAAGAUUAACUUCUGCGAAAGCAUCUGCCAAGGAUGUUUUCAUUAAUCAAGAACGAAAGUUAGGGGAUCGAAGACGAUCAGAUACCGUCGUAGUCUUAACCAUAAACGAUGCCGACCAGCGAUUAGGAGACGUUGAAUACAAAACACCACCAUCGGUUGCGGUCGUCCUUGGCGUCUCGGUUUCGGCCGGGGCGCGGGGAUGGCUUAGCCCGGUGGCACCGGUGAAUGACUCCCCUAGCAGCUUGUGAGA
Molecule: ribosomal RNA, 415 nt
Filed under: Acanthamoeba culbertsoni
Lineage: Eukaryota; Discosea; Longamoebia; Acanthamoebidae
Description: SSU rRNA
Rfam family: Eukaryotic small subunit ribosomal RNA
Source: RNAcentral